RNAcentral lists this ribosomal RNA (253 nucleotides) under uncultured bacterium. Its description in RNAcentral is "partial 16S ribosomal RNA". It matches the Rfam family "Bacterial small subunit ribosomal RNA", at positions 524 to 776 of the family's 1533-position model. The record is from RNAcentral.
UACGUAGGGUGCAAGCGUUGUCCGGAAUUAUUGGGCGUAAAGAGCUCGUAGGCGGUUUGUCACGUCGGAUGUGAAACCCCGGGGCUCAACCCCGGGCCUGCAUUCGAUACGGGCAGACUAGAGUUCGGCAGGGGAGACUGGAAUUCCUGGUGUAGCGGUGAAAUGCGCAGAUAUCAGGAGGAACACCGGUGGCGAAGGCGGGUCUCUGGGCCGAUACUGACGCUGAGGAGCGAAAGCGUGGGGAGCGAACAGG